AAAGCAGACUGUUCUAUCGCACUGCAAAUACGGUGAGGAAAGUCCGGGCAGCACAGAGCAUCACGCUUCCUAACAGGAAGAUACUUGAAAAAGUAUAGCUAUGCAACAGAAAAUAACCGUUCCGUCCCGAUGUAUCGGGAGCGGAAUAAGGGUGAAAAGGCAAGGUAAGAGCUUACCAGCCACGUGGCAACAUUGUGGGCUGUGUACCUCGUGAGUUGCAAGACCAUGUAUACCAGUGUUUGAGGGUUGCUCGCCCGAUGCUGGAGGGUAGGUCGCUAGAUUCCGAAAGUGAUUUCGGAACAAGAUAAAUGAUAGAAAUUUCGGUUUACCGAAUUACAGAACCCGGCUUAUAAGUCUGCUUUUUUU
Bacteroidetes bacterium GWA2_32_17 is the source of this 366-nucleotide non-coding RNA. NCBI's taxonomy places the organism in Bacteria, Pseudomonadati, Bacteroidota. The record is from Rfam.